Paramuricea clavata is the source of this 1163-nucleotide non-coding RNA. The record is from the annotation of a GenBank genome assembly. NCBI's taxonomy places the organism in Eukaryota, Metazoa, Cnidaria, Anthozoa, Malacalcyonacea, Plexauridae.
GUUGUGAUUCGAAUGCCAUCGCUCAUUUACAGUGGAUUUACCGAAGGUGCGCGCUAACAGUCUGACCUCAGCUACAUACAGUGUAGUUUUCCUCAUUGGGCCUAAAAAAACCUUGUGGUUCCGGUUUCAUAUCGCGAAAAAAAUAGGGUAGGUAGGUGGGGAAAAAUGGUUUUGGCGGGUUUUUGCUGGGCGAUUUUCAGUAGAGUCCCGACAACAAUAUUAACUAGAGAUACGUAGUUCCUACGGACGAAUUUAGGCAAUUUGGUUCAAUAAUUAUUGUGACAACAGACGCCGUUUUGGCACGCUGUACGAGCAGCCCGCAACCACCCGGAGAAAAUAGGCCUAGGUCGCACGGACAAUCGUGUUAAAAAAAAUAAUAGGGUCGGCAGAAAAAAUAGGGUCGGUCGGGAACCGGAACCACAGGUAUAUUUUUGUAGGCCUUGGUAUAUCAUUGACAAUUAAGCCCAGGUCACACCACACAACGAUAACUUGUAAACACGCGAUGAUUGGUAAAAAAAUUAUGUUAGUGUUCACACUACAACGAAAACGAUCCCAAAAUAUGUCGGAUGCGUGGAAUUUACAUGCAUGUACAGCUAAAGUUCUUCACGGUUUUGAAUACUUUGGCAGGUUUGCUAGUUAUUGCUAGAAGGAAAAUGUAAGUACGCGAAUAGUAAAUUUCCGCGUACCUACGUGGUACUUGGCUAAAAACAAAGAAGUACCAGACCAUAAAUUUGGCGUACCUCCGGUACGUUGGUACGCGAAUUAUCGCACCCUGGUUUUCGAAACUUGUAAAGUGAAAAGUGUUCAGUAUUAAAACUUUAUUUCGAACGAUAUAGUUUUACAUUUCAUUUUACAAAAUUUCUCAGCCAUUUCCUGAACAAAUUAAUGCUAAAAGUCGCUCUGUCAUUGUGUUUAUAUUCUAAGCAGAAAUCGAGAAAAACAACUUUGUAAUUAAGCAAUAAAGUCACACAAGAAGCAUUUUGAAAGCGUGUGCGUAUACAAGAAACACUGCAUGUGAAACUGGCCGUGAAACCGUGACCUGGCCGCGAAAACAGUUUUAUUUCUGAAUUUUAAUUAAACUGAUAUUUGAAUUUAUUAAUGAAAAAUUUAUGCUAAAACAAUUAUUCUCAGUGAUAACGUUGAAUAUUCGCCGGUAAUCACUU